Molecule: ribosomal RNA, 256 nt
Filed under: uncultured bacterium
Lineage: Bacteria
Description: partial 16S ribosomal RNA
Rfam family: Bacterial small subunit ribosomal RNA
Source: RNAcentral
GUCCACGCCGUAAACGAUGGAUACUAGCUGUCCGGCGCAAGCUGGGUGGCUAAGCGAAAGUGAUAAGUAUCCCACCUGGGGAGUACGUUCGCAAGAAUGAAACUCAAAGGAAUUGACGGGGGCCCCGCACAAGCGGUGGAGCAUGUGGUUUAAUUCGAUGAUACGCGAGGAACCUUACCAGGGCUUAAAUGUAGAUUGCAUUAGGUGGAGACACCUAUUUCUUCGGACCAUCUACAAGGUGCUGCAUGGUUGUCGU